This 941-nucleotide long non-coding RNA is filed under the name Vigna radiata. RNAcentral describes it as "long non-coding RNA (VRAD_LNC005434)". Lineage: Eukaryota; Viridiplantae; Streptophyta; Magnoliopsida; Fabales; Fabaceae. The record is from RNAcentral.
ACAAACAUGCACAACAUGGGUGAUUAUUCCCUCCAACAGAUCGCACAAACUGAUUGUAUAGCAAUGGUAGUGACUACUUCCCUUUUCUCCCGGUGCAGGUGAUGCAUCUAAGAGAUUCCUUUUGCUCUCAACUCACAAUCUGCUGCACGAAGGAUUCACACAAAAUCAGUAACCACACCAAUGCUUAACAAUUAUAAGACACACAGACAGUUUGAAACAAAUCUACAAUUAAUCUAAAACUCCCUUUAGUUCAGAGGACUGCUCCUAGCCUGCUCCAACUAAUCAGCAGAUCCACUUUUCACUUGUAACAUCCUACACUACAUUCUUGUAAAUUGAUGCACUAGCUAUAUGAUAUCAAUUAAAUCAGACCUGCACAACUACACCAAAAACAGCAGAUACUUCAAAUGAAUCAGUUCACGCAUAGCUAGCUAAGUGGCAUGCAAAGGUAUGUAGUCAAUCACUCUGGAUAAAACUGAAAUCGGAAACUGCUUUCCCAAUAAAAUUGAAAUGAUAUUUUUAACCAGGGAAGAAAAUGUUUCAAUUCAAGGCCUUAGUACAAAACAAUUCCAAUUCAGAAUCAUCAUUUGCAAGUGAAAAAGAAAGGAAAUUCACAAUCAGAAUUAUGCAGCAGUUUAAAAGAACAGAAGGCAGUAAUCAGAGAAUUGUGAUCCCAGCUUAAGCAAACCCAUUCAGAAAUCAGAGUGGUUAAUUCUAGUUUACAUAAACUGCCAUAUCAGAAUCAACACUUCAAAUAAUGCUAAGCAAGGACAUGCUAUAUACAGAAAUAGUUUGGACAAAACAGAGGCAAUUUAAGAUGAAAUACUCUCUUUUUGUUCAACACUCCCAAAGUCUAUUCUCAUGAGAUCCCUUGCUCAACUUCUACACUNCUGCAGCUAGUUGUAACUCACUUUCUACUAAGCACCACCUGUGAAUGACAAUCA